Molecule: non-coding RNA, 124 nt
Organism: Pelobates cultripes (western spadefoot toad)
Lineage: Eukaryota; Metazoa; Chordata; Amphibia; Anura; Pelobatidae
Source: the annotation of a GenBank genome assembly
CAAUGUUUCAGUCCCUCUCAGGGACUUUCCUCAGGAUCUCAAUAAUGAUCCACAAUAAUGAUUCCUCAGGAUCACAAUAAUUAUUGUGAUCCUGAGGAAAGUCCCUGAGAGGGACUGAAACGUU